UAUCCAUACAAUGGAGUACAAUGCAGCAUCAAAAAGAAACACACCGUAGACACCUGCAACAACUUGGAUUAAUCUCAGAGGGAUUAUGGUGCUGGCCAUGCAGGGACUUGGUCUCUGAAUGAGAUGAAGAGCCAUUAGCCUAUGAGCAGAGGAGCAGCAUAACAGGACUUCCGUUUUCAAGACACCUCUUUGGCUGUGAUGUUAGGAAUGAGGUAGAAACAGGGAGACCAGUUAGAAGGUUGUCACCAUAAUCAAGGUACCAGCAUGGGAGGGGUGAAAAGCAAUCAGCCUCCGGAUAUACUUUAAAGAGAGAAGAAACGGAAGAAUCAUCCAUGGAGUUAAGGUGAAAGCAGCACAAAUAGAGGAAAGUUUUAAAAAAAUUGUUCACUAGGGAGGUAUUUCCUGAAUAGAACUUCCUAACUGCAGCUACAGACCAUGUUAAAAGUGAUUGAUUUGCCUUAGCUACUGGCACAAAAUAUGGAGAGCAUUUCAAAAAGGUUCUUUAUAGUAAAACUUUGUUUUUCCUCUA
This is a long non-coding RNA of Homo sapiens (human), 529 nucleotides long. RefSeq lists it as uncharacterized. Lineage: Eukaryota; Metazoa; Chordata; Mammalia; Primates; Hominidae. The transcript is spliced from 3 exons. The record is from RefSeq and is a predicted model, not a curated record.